AGAGUUUGAUCCUGGCUCAGAAUCAACGCUGGCGGCGUGCCUAACACAUGCAAGUCGAACGAGAAAGUGGAGCAAUCCAUGAGUAAAGUGGCGACCGGGUGAGUAACACGUGACUAACCUGCCCUUGAGUGGGGGAUAACCUCGGGAAACCGGGGCUAAUACCGCAUAACAUCGCAAGAUCAAAGGAGCAAUCCGCUGAAGGAGGGGGUCGCGGCUGAUUAGUUAGUUGGUGAGGUAACGGCUCACCAAGACGAAGAUCAGUAGCCGGCCUGAGAGGGCGCACGGCCACACUGGAACUGAAACACGGUCCAGACUCCUACGGGAGGCAGCAGUGGGGAAUUUUGCGCAAUGGGGGAAACCCUGACGCAGCAACGCCGCGUGGAGGAUGAAGUCCCUUGGGAUGUAAACUCCUUUCGAUCGGGACGAUUAUGACGGUACCGGAAGAAGAAGCACCGGCUAACUCUGUGCCAGCAGCCGCGGUAAUACAGAGGGUGCAAGCGUUGUUCGGAAUUAUUGGGCGUAAAGGGCGCGUAGGCGGUGCGGUAAGACUGUGGUGAAAUCUCCGGGCUCAACUCGGAAAUUGCCGCGGUGACUGCCGUGCUGGAGUGUGGGAGAGGUGAGUGGAAUUCCCGGUGUAGCGGUGAAAUGCGUAGAUAUCGGGAGGAACACCUGUGGCGAAAGCGGCUCACUGGACCACAACUGACGCUGAGGCGCGAAAGCUAGGGGAGCAAACAGGAUUAGAUACCCUGGUAGUCCUAGCCCUAAACGAUGAUUGCUUGGUGUGUCGGGUACCCAAUCCCGACGUGCCGCAGCUAACGCGAUAAGCAAUCCGCCUGGGGAGUACGGUCGCAAGACUGAAACUCAAAGGAAUUGACGGGGCCCGCACAAGCGUGGAGCAUGUGGUUCAUUCGACGCAACGCGAGAACCUUACCUGGGCUCGAAAUGGAGUGGACCGGGGGUGGAACU
RNAcentral lists this ribosomal RNA (966 nucleotides) under uncultured bacterium. RNAcentral describes it as "bacterial SSU rRNA". It matches the Rfam family "Bacterial small subunit ribosomal RNA", at positions 8 to 1009 of the family's 1533-position model. The record is from RNAcentral.